Molecule: ribosomal RNA, 426 nt
Filed under: uncultured prokaryote
Description: bacterial SSU rRNA
Rfam family: Bacterial small subunit ribosomal RNA
Source: RNAcentral
UCGAGAAUCUUCGGCAAUGGGGCAACCCUGACCGAGCGACGCCGCGUGCGAGAUGAAGGCCUUCGGAUUGUAAACUCCUGUCAUCCGGGAGUAAGACCUGACGGUGAACAGCCGGCAGGGUUGAUAGUACCGGAAGAGGAAGGGACGGCUAACUUCGUGCCAGCAGCCGCGGUAAUACGAAGGUCACAAGCGUUGUUCGGAAUCACUGGGCGUAAAGGGUGAGUAGGCGGUCUUGCAAGUCGGGCGUGAAAUCCCGGGGCUCAACCCCGGAACUGCGCUUGAGACUGCAAGGCUAGAGGAUCGGAGAGGAGACUGGAAUUCUCGGUGUAGCAGUGAAAUGCGUAGAUAUCGAGAGGAACACUCGUGGCGAAGGCGAGUCUCUGGACGAUUCCUGACGCUGAGGCACGAAGGCCAGGGUAGCGAAAG